RNAcentral lists this ribosomal RNA (655 nucleotides) under uncultured bacterium. Its description in RNAcentral is "bacterial SSU rRNA". It matches the Rfam family "Bacterial small subunit ribosomal RNA", at positions 56 to 724 of the family's 1533-position model. The record is from RNAcentral.
UGCAAGUCGAACGAGCGAGAGAAAGCUUGCUUUCUCGAGCGAGUGGCGAACGGGUGAGUAACGCGUGAGGAACCUGCCUCAAAGAGGGGGACAACAGUUGGAAACGACUGCUAAUACCGCAUAAGCCCACGGCUCGGCAUCGAGCAGAGGGAAAAGGAGCAAUCCGCUUUGAGAUGGCCUCGCGUCCGAUUAGCUAGUUGGUGAGGUAACGGCCCACCAAGGCGACGAUCGGUAGCCGGACUGAGAGGUUGAACGGCCACAUUGGGACUGAGACACGGCCCAGACUCCUACGGGAGGCAGCAGUGGGGAAUAUUGCACAAUGGGGGAAACCCUGAUGCAGCGACGCCGCGUGGAGGAAGAAGGUCUUCGGAUUGUAAACUCCUGUUGUUGGGGAAGAUAAUGACGGUACCCAACAAGGGAGUGACGGCUAACUACGUGCCAGCAGCCGCGGUAAAACGUAGGUCACAAGCGUUGUCCGGAAUUACUGGGUGUAAAGGGAGCGCAGGCGGGAAGACAAGUUGGAAGUGAAAUCUAUGGGCUCAACCCAUAAACUGCUUUCAAAACUGUUUUUCUUGAGUAGUGCAGAGGUAGGCGGAAUUCCCGGUGUAGCGGUGGAAUGCGUAGAUAUCGGGAGGAACACCAGUGGCGAAGGCGG